AUAAUUUCUCACGGACUAAUCCGUGGGUAAUUUCCUACGGAUUUGUCCGUGGGUAAUUUUCCACGGACUAAUCCGUGAGUAAUUUC
RNAcentral lists this microRNA precursor (86 nucleotides) under Cajanus cajan (pigeon pea). Its description in RNAcentral is "miRNA gene-KK1_050671". The record is from RNAcentral. Lineage: Eukaryota; Viridiplantae; Streptophyta; Magnoliopsida; Fabales; Fabaceae.